This 467-nucleotide ribosomal RNA is filed under the name uncultured bacterium. RNAcentral's name for it is "partial 16S ribosomal RNA". It matches the Rfam family "Bacterial small subunit ribosomal RNA", at positions 28 to 506 of the family's 1533-position model. The record is from RNAcentral.
GACGAACGCUGGCGGCGUGCUUAACACAUGCAAGUCGAACGGAAAGGCCCUGCUUUUGUGGGGUGCUCGAGUGGCGAACGGGUGAGUAACACGUGAGUAACCUGCCCUUGACUUUGGGAUAACUUCAGGAAACUGGGGCUAAUACCGGAUAGGAGCUCCUGCUGCAUGGUGGGGGUUGGAAAGUUUCGGCGGUUGGGGAUGGACUCGCGGCUUAUCAGCUUGUUGGUGGGGUAGUGGCUUACCAAGGCUUUGACGGGUAGCCGGCCUGAGAGGGUGACCGGCCACAUUGGGACUGAGAGACGGCCCAGACUCCUACGGGAGGCAGCAGUGGGGAAUAUUGCACAAUGGGCGGAAGCCUGAUGCAGCAACGCCGCGUGCGGGAUGACGGCCUUCGGGUGGUAAACCGCUUUCGCCUGUGACGAAGCGUGAGGGACGGUAAUGGGUAAAGAAACACCGGCUAACUACGU